This 1691-nucleotide long non-coding RNA is filed under the name Astyanax mexicanus (Mexican tetra). Its description in RNAcentral is "lncRNA (ENSAMXG00005020685.1)". Lineage: Eukaryota; Metazoa; Chordata; Actinopteri; Characiformes; Acestrorhamphidae. The record is from RNAcentral.
AUCACUAAAAUAGGGCCAUGUGUCUCAUCCUUAUACUAAAUUUAAUGCAUUUUACAGGUUUCAGGAAUGAGAGUGUUGAAAUGGGCACCAACAUAACGUUACCCUGUACCACAGAAAAGAUGAUGAUUUAUGUAAUCUGGAAAAUCUACUCACGAGAGAAGACCUGUACAAUCUCUGUGACCACAAUCGAUACUGACUACGACAACUGUAAUGAUGGAAAGCAGAUAAUCAGUAAAGAUGGAGAUUACAGCUUGUUCAUCCCUCAGUUUUCAAUCAAGAAUGAAGGCCAGUACAUCUGUGACGUGUCUCACCGUGCCGGGGGCUUUACAGAAACAAUUCAUGUGUCUGCAUACGUCCGUCCGACACUGACUGGCUGGCUGGAAAAGGAUGAAGAUGGUCACACUUUUGCCGUCUGUGAAGCUCAGAGUAAACCAGCAGCUUCCAUUUACUGGGAAUCCCAGUGGAACAUCUCCUCACUCAGAACGAGCUCAUCUAAAAACGACAGUGGACUUUUCACAGUGACGAGCCGUUUACAGCUUCCUCAUGAUGCAUCUUACGCUGAUCUGACCUGCGUGGUCUCUGCCAGCCCCUCCAACUACUGGAAAGAGAUUCAAUUCAACACCUUCGGGUAUAAGGGCUAUUGCGCACUAUUGGAUUUGUCUGGGUAUUUUUGCCUUUUUCAUCAUAACACAUUUGAUCAUCUUUGCCGUCUUUUUGAUCAUUAAAAAAUGUGGCCUGCAUGACUGAAAUCUCAACACCAAAAAAAGAAAACCCCAAGGAUAAAGCAUUUAAUUUUCUAAUUAUGUAAUUUAAAUAAUUUAAUUUAUUUGUAUUUAUUAACUAACUAGCUUAUUAUGUAAGAUUUCUGUGUGAUGUAACAGGCAGUUUGCUUUAGAAUAUUUGUUUCUAAUUUCAGGAAUAUGAAGAAGAAGAAGUGGAAGUGGAAAUUGGUUUCUAUGUGAAUGUUGACCAACUUAUGUCCUGAUUUAGACUUGAAACUUACGACCUACACAAGUUCAGUGUUUAAGGGAAGCGGCAAAAUAACUCAAAAAAGAUAGUGAACUUCCUGCAGGUCUAACAGCAGGUCUCGUUGGUGUUUUUUAAAAUGACAGGAUAUUGUGUCGAUUUCUACAGUCUAUGUAUGGAUUUUUUUAGCUUUAAAUAUGUAAUCUUGUUUUAAGUUCUGCCUUUAUGUUUGACAUGACUGGGGUCUAUGCAAUGUAUGCAUCUAAAUGCAACCAGAGCCAUGUGGCGAGAUGUAAAGAAAUUUAAUGUAAAAAGACAAUAUGCAUAAAAUAUAUUAUAUUAUAUUUAAAUAUGUGUGUGAAUGUGUCAUGCUCUGUCUGGAUGUGGUGUGAUUUAAUGCACCCUGUUUAUUUUUUUAUUUCUUCCCAUGAAAGCCAAUUUUUAUUCUUAUUUAUUUAUGUAACACCUUGAAUUUCUUCCAAUAGAAAAAAUAGAAGAGUGAUUAAACUCUCUGUGCACAUGCUCAGUUUGACUGUCUUCUUGCUAACAAAAAGUGAGCCACAUUUGAAACUCCCAAAGAGUUUUUUUUCUAUCAGGUGUAUUUAUUGGAUACUGUAUUGAGAUUAAAUGUCCAGGAAUCCAAACCAGUAUUAGUAGAAUCACUGUUUUUUAAGAUAAACAUAGAAAUGUGGUAGACUGUGGUAAUAAAGAAGGAGGCCGCUCCA